UUAUUCUCUGUAUCCAAGUUCAUCCCGAGUAAUAGUACCACGAGGAUAAUCACCAAAGCCACCAGACAGCUUUAUGAUGCCAAUGAAGCAAGAUGAGCUAUUCAAUGAAACUCGUAUUGUAAAGAAGAAGAAAGAGACUGAUUCGGAAAGGAGGGUCGAGCCUCGACUAUAUACAUGUAAGUUUUUUACUUUUCAUUAAGUAUUUUGAUUUAUUUUUAUAUAAAUUUUGAAAUACUAAUUCAAUAUAUAUAAUUUUUCAUAUAGGUUUGCUUCACAUGCAGCUGACGUGGGGGAAUUCAUACACAGUCAACCACCUAAUGAAUCGGGCGAGGCAAUCCAACUUUCGGACGAUGAUGCUGAAAGAACACUCCUUGAG
This 376-nucleotide long non-coding RNA is filed under the name Nicotiana tabacum (common tobacco). RNAcentral's name for it is "long non-coding RNA (NTAB_LNC005872)". Lineage: Eukaryota; Viridiplantae; Streptophyta; Magnoliopsida; Solanales; Solanaceae. The record is from RNAcentral.